GGGCCGUUAGCUCAGUUGGUAGAGCAGUUGACUCUUAAUCAAUCGGUCAAAGGUUCGAGCCCUUUACGGCCCA
This 73-nucleotide transfer RNA is filed under the name Cardiobacterium valvarum. It matches the Rfam family "tRNA". From Rfam's summary of the family: Transfer RNA (tRNA) molecules are approximately 80 nucleotides in length. Their secondary structure includes four short double-helical elements and three loops (D, anti-codon, and T loops). Lineage: Bacteria; Pseudomonadati; Pseudomonadota; Gammaproteobacteria; Cardiobacteriales; Cardiobacteriaceae. The record is from Rfam by way of RNAcentral.